Hordeum vulgare subsp. vulgare (domesticated barley) is the source of this 89-nucleotide non-coding RNA. Lineage: Eukaryota; Viridiplantae; Streptophyta; Magnoliopsida; Poales; Poaceae. The record is from Rfam.
CGCCUUCGACAAUGUAACGAGGCACCGCAAGGUGCGGGGUAUCAAUCGUGAGAGGCGUACCCUUCUGGCAGCCAUAGCCGGACAAGGGC